CCUACGGGAGGCAGCAGUGAGGAAUAUUGGUCAAUGGCCGUAAGCCUGAACCAGCCAAGUCGCGUGAGGGAUGACUGCCCUAUGGAUCGUAAACCUCUUUUAUAAGGGAAUAAUGUGUGCGACGUGUCCCGUUUUGUCUGUACCUUAUGAAUAAGGAUCGGCUAACUCCGUGCCAGCAGCCGCGGUAAUACGGAGGAUCCGAGCGUUAUCCGGAUUUAUUGGGUUUAAAGGGUGCGUAGGCGGCUUUUUAAGUUAGUGGUUAAACUUCGGGGCUUACCCUUGAAUUGCCGUUAAUACUGUGAGGCUCGAGUACGUACGAGGCAGGCGGAAUACGUGGUGUAGCGGUGAAAUGCUUAGAUAUAACGCAGAACCCCGAUAGCGAAGGCAGCCUGCCAGGCCAUGACUGACGCUGAUGCACGAGAGCGUGGGUAUCAAACAGGAUUAGAUACCCUUGUAGUC
This 459-nucleotide ribosomal RNA is filed under the name uncultured bacterium. RNAcentral's name for it is "partial 16S ribosomal RNA". It matches the Rfam family "Bacterial small subunit ribosomal RNA", at positions 338 to 795 of the family's 1533-position model. The record is from RNAcentral.